RNAcentral lists this ribosomal RNA (235 nucleotides) under uncultured Lactobacillus sp. RNAcentral describes it as "partial 16S ribosomal RNA". It matches the Rfam family "Bacterial small subunit ribosomal RNA", at positions 128 to 356 of the family's 1533-position model. The record is from RNAcentral. Lineage: Bacteria; Bacillati; Bacillota; Bacilli; Lactobacillales; Lactobacillaceae.
GCCCAAUAGAUCGGGAUAACACCUGGAAACAGAUGCUAAUACCGGAUAACAACAGAUGAUGCCUAUCAACUGUUUAAAAAGAUGGUUCUGCUAUCACUCUUGGAUGGACCUGCGGUUCAUUAGCUAGUUGGUAGGGUAACGGCCUGCCAAGGCGAUGAUGCAUAGCCGAGUUGAGAGACUGAUCGGCCACAUUGGGACUGAGACACGGCCCAAACUCCUACGGGAGGCAGCAGCG